CUAUAGUAUAACAAGUAUAAAUGUUUCCGUUUCGUAUAGUCUAAUAAGUCUAUAAAUGUAUUGUUUGAUGAUAAAAUGCCCUAAGUUAUAGGCUUAUAGGAUAUUAGGAUAUAGGUUUAUCAGCUUUGGAAGUGUAAUAGUCCCUAUCAUGAACAUCGCGAAUAACUAUGUCGAUUGCAUAUGUCUGAUGCAAACAUAUUGAGCUAUAGCCUAAACUCUACGUGGCCAACGCUCGAGCCUCAAAUUUUGCUAUUUUAUCUCCUAGACCUAGUAUACCUUUAAAAGUAGACAAACAUUUCAUGUGUAUGUGGCGUUCGGAAAUAUUCCAUAAAUUGCUACGAUUUGGGAUUUCGCGAUUGAAAGCGAAAUGAUUUGUGCGAUGUCGCCAUGUCGGGCUAUUUGCCAACCGUGCGCGCUAGCCGCUGUUAUUUUGACAGAAUAUGAUACCUCUACACUUUUCAGCCGUAAUCAAUAAUGCGCGGAUUGUAAUCAUAUACAUAUCGUUUAAUUUAGCUUCAAAAACUUAUUUUGUUAAAUGUAAAAUGCGCAGCAUGUUGCGUAGAUUAAUAUCAAAGAAAAAAGGUUGACUUUAUUAGACUGAAAUCAGCAAGAUUUCCCGUUACAUACAUGAUUUAUACCGAGGCGGCUUUGCAUGUGCUCUGCCUCUGGCAACUAUGACACCAUUGCACUCCGCGGGAACCAACACGAAUAACAUGUUUUUUUAUCAAGUUUUUGAAGCUAAAUUAAACGAUAUGUGUAUGAUACGAUUACAAUGCGCGCUGAAAAUUACGGUUGAAAAGUGUAGAGGUAUCAUAUUCUGUCGAAAUAACAGCAGUUAGCGCGCUCGGUUGGCAAUUAGCCCGACAUCGCACAAAUCAUUUCGGUUUUCAAUCGGGAAAUCCCAAAUCGUAGCAAUUUAUGGAAUAUUUCCGAACGCCACAUACACAUCACACAUGAAAUGUUUGUCGACCUUUAAGGGCCACGAACAUAUACUAGCUAGGUCUGGGAGAUAAAAUAGCAAAAUUUGACGCUCGAGCGUUGGCCACUAAUUAUACAGGCACUGCAGCGUAAAAUUUAUAGCUCAAUAGACAAUAUGUUUGUAUCAGACAUAUGCAAUCGACAUAGUUAUUCGCGACGUUCAUGAUAGGGACUAUAACACUUCCAAAGCUAACUGAUAAACCUAUAUCCUAUAACUAAUUAAGACAUUUUAUCAUCAACUUAUAUUCUAUAGGCUUAUUCACCAUACGAAACGGAAACAAAAUCAAACAUUUACUUGUUAUACUAUAGAUAACAGCAAGAUAAGAAAUUAUUUUAUUACUGGAGAUUUGUUCCGUUAAAUUUUCCUGUAUUUAUCUAAUGCAUAAAUGGAAAAAGUACGAAAAAAUAUUAAAAAGAAAAAUAAUAUCUUCGUGAAAAAAUGCGUUUUUAGCACAUUUUAUGACCCACGACUUUACCCACGACUUUACCCACGACACACGACUUUUAACCCACGACACGCGACACACGACAUAUAGGGACACUCGAAUAUUUAGGACGAUAUAUGCACCAGAUUGCACCAGACACCGGUAUUGUACUUCAUAGUAAAUUAUUUCAUAUUUUGUGUAUUACAGUAAUUCACAGCAGGUACAUUAAUUUAUAAACUUUAUAAAGACCUUUCAUUCCCAUUGCCCAUUCAGUGCUUUAUAUUUGAAGAAUAACCCGACAGCUUCUUUGGACUUGUAUUAUGCUGCUGUGAGUCAUCAAUAUUUAAAUCAACUUUAAAUAAUCUUUAUCGUAAACUCUAUAAAUGACAUUUUAGCAGUUUCACCAAACCAUACUAGAGGCGAACAACCUAU
This is a non-coding RNA of Paramuricea clavata, 1835 nucleotides long. The record is from the annotation of a GenBank genome assembly. NCBI's taxonomy places the organism in Eukaryota, Metazoa, Cnidaria, Anthozoa, Malacalcyonacea, Plexauridae.